Amphiprion ocellaris (clown anemonefish) is the source of this 429-nucleotide long non-coding RNA. Lineage: Eukaryota; Metazoa; Chordata; Actinopteri; Pomacentridae. The record is from Ensembl.
CGGCUGCAGCGCAUGCGCAGUAAGAGACUGAUUUGCUUGGAAAAAGCGAGGGAGCCAGAAGGAAAGAAGACGCAGGAGGAAAGAGGUAGAAAGGGAGCAACUAUCGAUGUCUGUCUACUAAGAAAUAUGUAUCCAAGUCCAGGUGUGAGGUUCCAGUGCAGCCAAUGCCAGACAGUUUCCCUCCAGGGAGGAGCCAGAAGAAGCUUCUGCAGCGACUGAGUGAAAGUAGCAGUUCCUCCUGAAGGUCAGAGAUUGCAGCAUCUGAGGGCCUCUUCAAAAGAAGACGUAGUUGAUGAAGGCGUUCUGGAGCAGGACCAGAAAGACCACGACCAAGCAGCCUUGAGAUCUUAGACAGCGUCUCCCUCAGGUCCCUCUCUAUCUCCCCACACAUCCACCAACCACUGGAACACAUCUCCAAAGUUCUGCGGG